RNAcentral lists this ribosomal RNA (253 nucleotides) under uncultured bacterium. RNAcentral describes it as "partial 16S ribosomal RNA". It matches the Rfam family "Bacterial small subunit ribosomal RNA", at positions 524 to 776 of the family's 1533-position model. The record is from RNAcentral.
UACGAAGGGGGCUAGCGUUGCUCGGAAUCACUGGGCGUAAAGCGCACGUAGGCGGAUUGUUAAGUCAGGGGUGAAAUCCUGGAGCUCAACUCCAGAACUGCCUUUGAUACUGGCGAUCUCGAGUCCGGGAGAGGUGAGUGGAACUGCGAGUGUAGAGGUGAAAUUCGUAGAUAUUCGCAAGAACACCAGUGGCGAAGGCGGCUCACUGGCCCGGUAUUGACGCUGAGGUGCGAAAGCGUGGGGAGCAAACAGG